CCUACGGGAGGCAGCAGUGGGGAAUAUUGCGCAAUGGGCGAAAGCCUGACGCAGCGACGCCGCGUGAGGGAUGAAGGUCUUCGGAUCGUAAACCUCUGUCAGCAGGGAAGAACGGUCACUGUGCUAAUCAGCAGUGACUUGACGGUACCUGCAAAGGAAGCACCGGCUAACUCCGUGCCAGCAGCCGCGGUCAUACGGAGGUUGCGAGCGUUAAUCGGAAUUACUGGGCGUAAAGCGCUCGUAGGCGGUAUGUCAAGUCAAGGGUGAAAUCCCCGCGCUCAACGGGGGAACUGCCUUUGAAACUGGCAAACUGGAGUGUGUGAGAGGAUAGUGGAAUUCCAGGUGUAGGAGUGAAAUCCGUAGAUAUCUGGAGGAACAUCAGUGGCGAAGGCGAAUAUCUGGCACAUAACUGACGCUGAGGAGCGAAAGCGUGGGUAGCAAACAGGAUUAGAUACCCGGGUAGUC
This 465-nucleotide ribosomal RNA is filed under the name uncultured bacterium. RNAcentral describes it as "partial 16S ribosomal RNA". It matches the Rfam family "Bacterial small subunit ribosomal RNA", at positions 338 to 795 of the family's 1533-position model. The record is from RNAcentral.